CAGCCGCCGCGGUAAUACGAAGGGGGCUAGCGUUGUUCGGAAUUACUGGGCGUAAAGCGCACGUAGGCGGAUAUUUAAGUCAGGGGUGAAAUCCCAGAGCUCAACUCUGGAACUGCCUUUGAUACUGGGUAUCUUGAGUAUGGAAGAGGUGAGUGGAAUUCCGAGUGUAGAGGUGAAAUUCGUAGAUAUUCGGAGGAACACCAGUGGCGAAGGCGGCUCACUGGUCCAUUACUGACGCUGAGGUGCGAAAGCGUGGGGAGCAAACAGGAUUAGAUACCCGGGUAGUCCCUGUCUCUUAUAC
RNAcentral lists this ribosomal RNA (301 nucleotides) under uncultured bacterium. Its description in RNAcentral is "partial 16S ribosomal RNA". It matches the Rfam family "Bacterial small subunit ribosomal RNA", at positions 509 to 807 of the family's 1533-position model. The record is from RNAcentral.